This 74-nucleotide transfer RNA is filed under the name Geoalkalibacter subterraneus. It matches the Rfam family "tRNA". Rfam says of the family: Transfer RNA (tRNA) molecules are approximately 80 nucleotides in length. Their secondary structure includes four short double-helical elements and three loops (D, anti-codon, and T loops). The record is from Rfam by way of RNAcentral. Lineage: Bacteria; Pseudomonadati; Thermodesulfobacteriota; Desulfuromonadia; Desulfuromonadales; Geoalkalibacteraceae.
GGGCCUAUAGCUCAGUUUGGUAGAGCCACCGGCUCAUAACCGGUUCGUCCCAGGUUCGAAUCCUGGUGGGCCCA